Molecule: ribosomal RNA, 600 nt
Filed under: Klebsiella pneumoniae
Lineage: Bacteria; Pseudomonadati; Pseudomonadota; Gammaproteobacteria; Enterobacterales; Enterobacteriaceae
Description: bacterial SSU rRNA
Rfam family: Bacterial small subunit ribosomal RNA
Source: RNAcentral
GUCUGGGAAACUGCCUGAUGGAGGGGGAUAACUACUGGAAACGGUAGCUAAUACCGCAUAACGUCGCAAGACCAAAGUGGGGGACCUUCGGGCCUCAUGCCAUCAGAUGUGCCCAGAUGGGAUUAGCUAGUAGGUGGGGUAACGGCUCACCUAGGCGACGAUCCCUAGCUGGUCUGAGAGGAUGACCAGCCACACUGGAACUGAGACACGGUCCAGACUCCUACGGGAGGCAGCAGUGGGGAAUAUUGCACAAUGGGCGCAAGCCUGAUGCAGCCAUGCCGCGUGUGUGAAGAAGGCCUUCGGGUUGUAAAGCACUUUCAGCGGGGAGGAAGGCGUUGAGGUUAAUAACCUUGUCGAUUGACGUUACCCGCAGAAGAAGCACCGGCUAACUCCGUGCCAGCAGCCGCGGUAAUACGGAGGGUGCAAGCGUUAAUCGGAAUUACUGGGCGUAAAGCGCACGCAGGCGGUCUGUCAAGUCGGAUGUGAAAUCCCCGGGCUCAACCUGGGAACUGCAUUCGAAACUGGCAGGCUAGAGUCUUGUAGAGGGGGGUAGAAUUCCAGGUGUAGCGGUGAAAUGCGUAGAGAUCUGGAGGAAUACCG